AGAAUCUGGCUCCAGGUCGGGGAUAACAGUUGGAAACGACUGCUAAUACCGGAUGUGCCGAGAGGUGAAAGAUUUAUUGCCUGGAGAUGAGCUCGCGUCUGAUUAGCUAGUUGGUGGUGUAAGGGACCACCAAGGCAUCGAUCAGUAGCUGGUCUGAGAGGAUGAUCAGCCACACUGGGACUGAGACACGGCCCAGACUCCUACGGGAGGCAGCAGUGGGGAAUUUUCCGCAAUGGGCGAAAGCCUGACGGAGCAAUACCGCGUGAGGGAGGAAGGCUCUUGGGUCGUAAACCUCUUUUCUCAAGGAAGAAGAAAGUGACGGUACUUGAGGAAUAAGCAUCGGCUAACUCCGUGCCAGCAGCCGCGGUAAUACGGAGGAUGCAAGCGUUAUCCGGAAUGAUUGGGCGUAAAGGGUCUGCAGGUGGAACUGAAAGUCUGCUGUUAAAGAGUUUGGCUUAACCAAAUAAAAGCGGUGGAAACUACAGAACUAGAGUGCGGUAGGGGCAAAAGGAAUUCCUGGUGUAGCGGUGAAAUGCGUAGAUAUCAGGAAGAACACCGGUGGCGAAAGCGUUUUGCUAGACCGUAACUGACACUGAGGGACGAAAGCUAGGGGAGCG
Molecule: ribosomal RNA, 617 nt
Filed under: Cylindrospermopsis curvispora P5
Lineage: Bacteria; Bacillati; Cyanobacteriota; Cyanophyceae; Nostocales; Aphanizomenonaceae
Description: bacterial SSU rRNA
Rfam family: Bacterial small subunit ribosomal RNA
Source: RNAcentral